AGUCAGCCUGUUGAAGCUUUGAAGCUUUGAUGCUAGGCAUUGACUUCUCACUAGCUAUGAAAGUCCUAGUUAUAGAGAAGUCAAUGCAUGACAUCUUGUUUCAAUAGAUGGCUGUUUCA
Molecule: microRNA precursor, 119 nt
Organism: Cercocebus atys (sooty mangabey)
Lineage: Eukaryota; Metazoa; Chordata; Mammalia; Primates; Cercopithecidae
Source: Ensembl